RNAcentral lists this small nuclear RNA (109 nucleotides) under Naja naja (Indian cobra). RNAcentral describes it as "U2 spliceosomal RNA (ENSNNAG00000008058.1)". It matches the Rfam family "U2 spliceosomal RNA". Rfam says of the family: U2 is a small nuclear RNA (snRNA) component of the spliceosome (involved in pre-mRNA splicing). Complementary binding between U2 snRNA (in an area lying towards the 5' end but 3' to hairpin I) and the branchpoint sequence (BPS) of the intron results the bulging out of an unpaired adenosine, on the BPS, which initiates a nucleophilic attack at the intronic 5' splice site, thus starting the first of two transesterification reactions that mediate splicing. Lineage: Eukaryota; Metazoa; Chordata; Lepidosauria; Squamata; Elapidae. The record is from Rfam by way of RNAcentral.
AUAGCUUCUCGGCCUUUUGGCUAAGAACAAGUGUAGUAUAUGUAAUUCUAUAAUUCACUUCACUUGCAGACACUACAAGUCACUAUUAAAGAAAUGAUAAACAAUCAUC